AAUGUGAACAAAUAACAAAGUAUGUCAUAUGACCAAUCGUUCAAAUAAAAGAAAGUAUCCUCUACAUUCCACAAUGUGUAAACGUAAACAACAGUCAUGACUUUUCACAAAUAUAGCCAACCCCCUGAUAGUCUGAAAGGAUAUUUUUUAAAGUAAGUUUUAAAAUUUAAUUUGAGAGACCUCCAAGUAAUGUACAGGCAAUUAAUUUAUUCACCAGUUUUAGCUUCUCUUAGAAAAAAAUAUUCUGACAAAUGAAACAUAGGAAAAACAUAUACUGGUUUUUACUAGAGCACCUUGCACAGGACUUUUGAAAAAAUAUUUUUUUGAAACUGGUACAAGGUUACCUGAUUCCAUUAUUAAGAUUAACGGGUAUUUUGCAUCAGACAAUUUUUAAUUUUAUAUCAAGAAUGAUUGGUUGCCCCUUGCAUAUGAGCUUUCUAGGGUAAAUUUAAACCUUUUUUUUCGUAUCUUAAAAAUUAUCUGAACACUAGAGAGUGGUUUUCCUCAUGCCUUAAUAGUACAUAAUAUAUUUCCAUGUAUCUAUCCAUCUCACAUUACACUAACUUAAAUGUCAAUGUAUUUUAAAAGUUUCACACUUCCUUCCUUCAGGGUGUAAUUUACGUGUCAGUUGUAGGGAAUUUUAGUUCAUUUUUCCACUCUUAUUAAGAAUAACACAACGGAUGACCACCAUAACAGGUUUUGAAAGAAUGUAUACUUUACACAAGACGUUUUUAUUUACACUAAAAUUUCAUGGAUUUUAAAUUCUUGGAAAUACGUAGAAAAACACUUAACAUGUUCAUGCAAGCCUAAGUUCAAGGCAUGAUUUACUUAAUGGUGGGAAAAUUUCAACCUCUUUAUGACAAAGUUUACAAAAGUGAAAUUAAAAUGUAAAAAAAAAUAGGUUUCAUUUUUAGUUAAAGUUAGUUUUACUUAUGAACCUUGACAAGAUUUUAAUUUGCAGAAGAUUUUAAAAUCUACUGAUCACAUUAUUCCAAACAAAAUAACAAAACAUAUACUUUCAAAAGACAGAAAAAAAUAAAAGUUACAGGUGAGUGAAAAUUACAGAUGCCAAAAUGAAUUGCCCAAAGAUGAGUAGGGUGGAGAACAAAA
This is a long non-coding RNA of Hydractinia symbiolongicarpus, 1110 nucleotides long. RefSeq lists it as uncharacterized. The transcript is spliced from 2 exons. The record is from RefSeq and is a predicted model, not a curated record. NCBI's taxonomy places the organism in Eukaryota, Metazoa, Cnidaria, Hydrozoa, Anthoathecata, Hydractiniidae.